This 429-nucleotide long non-coding RNA is filed under the name Pandoravirus neocaledonia. Its description in RNAcentral is "hypothetical ncRNA". The record is from RNAcentral.
CGCUGAGCAAGUCGUUCCCACCAGGCAGCAGGCGUACCCACUGCCUUCCCACUGCGGACAGCAGACCACCUGCGGGCAGCAAGACUCUCCGCUGUCACAGCAUGGGAUGUCAUUGACGUGGCCUCCUCCGGAUGCGCUGGUGUUUCCUGUCGUCAGCACAAGCGUCAGAAAGAUCAUUCGGAACGGUCCGUUCCACCUGCGAAAGACGUGCUUACCAGUGCUCGGUCUCACCGCCCCCAUGGAAUAGCCGCCUGUCGACGGCCUACAGCAAAAGCACACACAGACCCACGUUGAGUAAAUCAGCAAGGCGAGCGAACAGAACCAAGGGCCGUACCAGGGGCAACAAAUGAGGACGCAUAACAAGUAGAGAUUGAGCAGGUUCAUCUCGGGCAAAUCGUGGCGGCAGUAAAGAGUGGCGAGGUUGCACCC